GACGAACGCUGGCGGCGUGCUUAACACAUGCAAGUCGGACGGUCUGUAUAUUGAAAGCUUGCUGGAUAUGUACGGAUAGUGGCGGACGGGUGAGUAACGCGUGAAUACCUGGCCAUCGGAGGGGGACAACGGCUGGAAACGGUCGCUAAUACCGCGUAAGCCGUAAGGUGAAAGGCCACGGGAGUGGCUGCCGAUGGAUGGGUUCGCGUCCUAUCAGCUGGUUGGUGGGGUAAG
This 234-nucleotide ribosomal RNA is filed under the name uncultured Synergistales bacterium. RNAcentral's name for it is "partial 16S ribosomal RNA". It matches the Rfam family "Bacterial small subunit ribosomal RNA", at positions 28 to 261 of the family's 1533-position model. Lineage: Bacteria; Thermotogati; Synergistota; Synergistia; Synergistales. The record is from RNAcentral.